Molecule: ribosomal RNA, 592 nt
Filed under: Aschersonia hypocreoidea
Lineage: Eukaryota; Fungi; Ascomycota; Sordariomycetes; Hypocreales; Clavicipitaceae
Description: LSU rRNA
Rfam family: Eukaryotic large subunit ribosomal RNA
Source: RNAcentral
AGCGGAGGAAAAGAAACCAACAGGGAUUGCCCCAGUAACGGCGAGUGAAGCGGCAACAGCUCAAAUUUGAAAUCUGGCCCUCCCCGGGGGGCCCGAGUUGUAAUUUGCAGAUUGUGCUUUUGGCGAGGGGCCUUCCGAGUUCCCUGGAACGGGACGCCAUAGAGGGUGAGAGCCCCGUCUGGUCGGCCGCCGAGCCUCUGUAAAGCACCUUCGACGAGUCGAGUAGUUUGGGAAUGCUGCUCAAAAUGGGAGGUAUAUGUCUUCUAAAGCUAAAUACCGGCCAGAGACCGAUAGCGCACAAGUAGAGUGAUCGAAAGAUGAAAAGCACCUUGAAAAGGGGGUUAAACAGUACGUGAAAUUGUUGAAAGGGAAGCGCUCGCGACCAGACUUGGGCCCGGCGGAUCACCCAGCGUUCUCGCUGGGGCACUCCGCCUCGUCCCAGGCCAGCAUCGGUUCGUGCCGGGGGACAAAGGCGGCGGGAACGUGGCUCCCCCGGGAGUGUUAUAGCCCGCCGUGCAAUGCCCUGGGGCGGACCGAGGAUUCGCGCAUCUGCAUGGAUGCUGGCGUAAUGGUCACCAGCGACCCGUCUUGA